CAAUGGGUUUUCUUUGGUGAGGUUUUUAAUGAGGGAGGUCUUCAUGGUUUCCAAGCUUGACUUGUUCCACAUGGUCAAGCUUGAGGGGGAGUGUUGAGAUGAGGUAAUAAAGAGUGACUAUAUUGAUAGAGAAUGAGGAUUGAGACAGACAGUAACUUUGGAGUUACCACAGUAACUUUGGUUUUACUGUGGUAACUAAGUUAAAGCUUGGAAAGUUACCUUGGCUCACAUUGGAGAGUAAGCCACGACCAAGGAGCUGUAUGGAUAAGGGAGGAGCAGUCUGGAUAAGGUUUAGGGCUGGAUAAGGCUGGAGACAGGCUGGAAAGUAGACAGCAUCUAGUAAAAGAUGCCAAAGGGAUCAAGCAUGUGAAGACUCCCAUUGGCUGCUUUUGGAUGGCUCUCUUUGACUACACAUGCCCUGAACCUCUACCUUAUCUGAUUGAUUUCGAAAUUGUCUCUCUCAUAUAAGUAUGUUGUAAACCUCAUCUUUAAUAAUUAAUGGAGUUUUGAGUCUCUCUCUCUCUAGAAUCUCUCUAUUCUCUCUAAAUUCUACUCUAAUCUUCUCUGAUUAUUAUUAAACACACUCUAAAACACAAAAGUGUUUAAAUACUACUUGACAAUCCAGAUCAAUUGUAGCUUUCUUAACAGAUAUCAGAUUUGAAGUGAACUGAGGCAGAUAUAAGGCGGUUGAGCUCUUCUCAAACAGCUUGAGGUUUCCCAUUCCUUCUACUGGGAUCUGAGCGCCAUUAGCUAUGGUAACACACCCUGUUGCAGCCCUGACAUCACUUAUCAGACUCCUAUCACUGAUCAUAUGAUGUGUUGCUCCAGAAUCAAUUAUGAUAGGUUUAGAGGCUGUGUAGGAAUCGCUUUGCUUCUCACUUGCAGCUAGAGCACCUUGCUUCUUUCUUGCAACCAGUUCAUACACACACUUAACAAACUCAUCCCAUUCUUUCUUUGUGAUUGGAUCCUCUCCUCCUUUGGUCUCCUGCCUCCUUGUACCUACACCAUCUUCUACUGAUUCUCCCAAGUAAGCUGAGUAUGAACACUCUCCUAUAACCAUCUGCUGAAGUAUAUCCUUGAUUCUCUUCAAGAUCACACUCAUCCUGUCACUUAAGUGCUCAGACUCGCUACCCUUUCUCCAUGCCCUUCUCUUCAUUAACCACUCCUUAGAAAGUUUUCUCAACCUUCCCUUCUUACAGCUUGUACCUCCCUUCCAUCUUUCUGGUUUCCUGUUCAUCUCCCACACAUCACAAGUGUAUUUAACAAGCUCACAUACCUCUUCCAUAAGGAAGCCAAAGAUCACAUCUUGCUUCCUCCUUUCUUGACCACAUCUCGGAUUUGAUGUGUGUGCCUUCACCACAUCUAACUCUGACCAUACUUCUCUCAGCCUUCCCACAAGCUGAUAACACUCAUCCCUUCCUUGUCUCAAGCCGCGGAUCAUCCCUUUGUCCUCAACGACUCUUACAGGCUUGGACUUGUCUAAAGUUGCUUCAAUCUCACUCUUUGUAGUGUCUCCUUGAACAACUUCAUUUCCCAGAUUCAGACCUCUUGUCUGACCUUCUUCAGUAGCCAUUUCCAUGAAAGGUUUCCCCUUUCCAUGACUGCUCCAUAACCCACAGCUUUCCAAAGCUCCCUUUAUCCAUCUUGAACACACUCCAUCCAUUUCUUCUUCACGCCCCAAAGAUUUACUAAACCUGUGCUUCAUCUCCUGUUGAGGUUGCUUGAAUCGACCAGACAACCUCCCAAAUACCCAGAAACUGAAGAACAGCUCAAGAACAGCUCAAGAACAGCAAGAACACACAACAGAUUCUCGCAAAUCACCACUCCCUUCCUUGCCAACCUGGCUCUGAUACCAUAUACACUUUUGUGUAUGUAGAGUGAUGAAUAAAUAUCAAGAGAUGAUUAGUGUAGAUUUGGAGAUUUAAGAGAGACUAAGAGAAUAAAGAACAAGAGAGAAUACUCAAAACUCCAUUAAUUGAUUCAGAUGAGAGAUUACAAGCUAUAAAGAGAUUACAAUCAUGUCUAGGUUCAGUGUAUUCAAUCUAGACCUAUAAGCAUGUGAAGUCAAUAGAAAUACUAGGCUGAGAUGCUUCACAUGCUUGGACAGGCUGUCACUUGCUGUAAAGAUGCUUAUCCUUUCCAGCCAAGAGAAACCUUAUCCCUUACCCUCCUUGGACGAGUUUCAACUCCUCUCUUCACCAAGUUACCUUCUCAUCACUUCAGGUAACUUCCCAAGUAGUUACUGUGGUUAAAAUAAAGUUACCACAGUAAAACUCUAAAGUUACUGUCUCAGCCUCAACACUCUAUUGAACCUCAAAGCUUCAUCUCUUCACUUCUUGGUCUUCUUCUCAACAGAAGAGACAUAAGGGUUUUCAGAAAGCAUAAGCAUGUGAAGUCAAGGAUAAGGUUUGCUUUAAUUCAAACUGAGCCAAUAGGAGAGGCCACACGCUUUUGGGAUCUUUUACUAAGACUGCUUUUGCCAAUACAGCCUGUCCCAGCCUGUCAAGAUAAGACCCAGCUCCCUUAGCCAUCCAAACGGUCAUCUCUUCAUGGUAAAAUCCCCUUUGGCCGUUAACUCCUUUUACUCGGGUAAAAGGUGACUUAGCCGAGUUAUGGAUCGACCAUGGUCCGGAUGGUACGGCCUGUACGGCCUUGUACGGCCUGGUCGAUCCCUAACCCAUCUUUUCCAUUCCUUCACACCAUCUCAUCUCUUCUUCAACUCCUUAGGACAUCUUCUCUCAUAUACUGAUCAGCUCAUUUCAACAGAUUCAUCCUGGUUUGAUUAGAAUGACGAAGAAGAUGUCAUAUUCCCAAACAGGGAAACUGGGAUCACCUUAUUUGAAAGUGGGAUAACUUCUUCAUCCUAACUCCUAUGAGAUUUAUUCAAAUUCCUGGUGAUUCUCCACUACUCUAUGUAUCUAAAUCAAGCUUUGUACAUCGCGAUUCUUCCUGGUUUGAUUAGAAUGUCGAAGAAGUUGUCAUAUUCCCAAACAGGGAAACUAGGAUCACCUUAUUUGAAAGUUGGAUAACUUCUUCAUCCUAACUCCUAUGAGAUUUAUUCAACUUCCUGGUGAUUCUCCACUGCUUUAUGUAUCCAAAUGAAGGUUCUUACAUCGCGAUUCAUCCUGGUUUGAUUAGAAUGACGAAGAAGUUGUCAUAUUCCCAAACAGGGAAACUGGGAUCACCUUAUUUGAAAGUGGGAUAACUUCUUCAUCCUAACUCCUAUGAGAUUUAUUCAACUUCCUGGUGAUUCUCCACUACUUUAUGUAUCCAAAUGAAGGUUCUUACAUCGCGAUUCAUCCUGGUUUGAUUAGAAUGACGAAGAAGUUGUCAUAUUCCCAAACAGGGAAACUGGGAUCACCUUAUUUGAAAGUGGGAUAACUUCUUCAUCCUAACUCCUAUGAGAUUUAUUCAACUUCCUGGUGAUUCUCCACUACUUUAUGUAUCCAAAUGAAGGUUCUUACAUCGCGAUUCAUCCUGGUUUGAUUAGAAUGACGAAGAAGUUGUCAUAUUCCCAAACAGGGAAACUGGGAUCACCUUAUUUGAAAGUGGGAUAACUUCUUCAUCCUAACUCCUAUGAGAUUUAUUCAACUUCCUGGUGAUUCUCCACUACUCUAUGUAUCUAAAUCAAGCUUUGUACAUCGCGAUUCAUCCUGGUUUGAUUAGAAUGUCGAAGAAGUUGUCAUAUUCCAAAACAGGGAAAAUGGGAUCACCUUAUUUGAAAGUGAGAUAACUUCUUCAUCCUAACUCCUAUGAGAUUUAUUCAACUUCCUCCAAACAGGGAAACUGGGAUCACCUUAUUUGAAAGUGUGAUAACUUCUUCAUCCUAACUCCUAUGAGAUUUAUUCAAAUUCCUGGUGAUUCUCCACUACUCUAUGUAUCUAAAUCAAGCUUUGUACAUCGCGAUUCUUACUGGUUUGAUUAGAAUGUCGAAGAAAUUGUCAUAUUCCCAAACAUGGAAACUGGGAUAACCUUAUUUGAAAGUGGGAUACUUCUUCAUCCUAACUCCUAUGAGAUUUAUUCAACUUCCUGGUGAUUCUCCACUACUUUAUGUAUCCAAAUGAAGAUUCUUACAUCACGAUUCUUCCUGGUUUGAUUAGAAUGACGAAGAAGUUGUCAUAUUCCCAAACAGGGAAACUAGGAUCACCUUAUUUGAAAGUGGGAUAACUUCUUCAUCCUAACUCCUAUCAGAUUUAUUCAAAUUCCUGGUGAUUCUCGACUACUCUUUGUAUCUAAAUCAAGCUUUUCUCCAUCCUAACUCCUAUUAUGAUUUUAGAGAAUAAGAACGGUAUUGAGAAGUCUAAGAGAGAUUCAAGCGAGAUUAGAGUGUUUAAGAGAAGAUGUAUGAGAUUAUCAUGAUGAACUAGAGAGAGAGACUCAUGAACUCGUGUUAUUCAUUAAUCAAGACAGAGUUUACAAUAUAUAAGCUCAGAUACAAGGGUUUCAGAGAGACUAAGCAUGUGAGGUCAAGGAUAAGGUUGCUUUAAUUCAAACUUGAUCCAAUGGGAGCUGUCACACGUUUUUGGCAUCUUGGACCAGGUUCCUUUUGCCUUUACAGCCUGUUCCAGCCUGUGUGGAUAAGGCUCAGUCACUCUAUCCAUCCAAACGGUCAUCUCCCCUAAGGUAAAACCCCUUUGGCCGUUUACUCCUUUCACGCGGUAACUUCUCUUCUUGGUCGAGUGGUGGAUUGAUCCGGACCGUACGGAUGGUAUGGCCGGUACGGCCUUGUACGGCCUGAUCACUCCCAAGCUCUCCUUCUCUUGGCCUUCACAUUAUCUCAUUCCCAACUCCUUAAGCUAUCUUCUCAUAUAUUGUUCAACUCAUUUCAACACUCCCCCUCAAGCUUAACUUAGUAUCUUAGUUAAGCUUGGAACAACCAUGAGAUCUUCCUCAUUAAAAACCUCACCAAAGAAAACCCAUUGGGACAAAACUUUGAUGAGGGAAAAAGAGUGAAGAGCUCAUGGCUAAGGGGAUCAGCUCCGUGGUGUAAGAUCUAUGAGUCCCAAUCUGAUGUGAAUGGACUCCAUAGUCUUUUGUCUUGCUGCCUUGGUGAACACAUCCGCAAGUUGAUCCUCACUCCUCGUAUAGCAUGGCAGGAUUACUCCCAAGACAAUCAUCUGCCUCACUUUGUGACAAUCAACUUCAAUGUGCUUGGUUCUCUCAUGGAAGACUGAGUUGGUUGCAAUGUGUAUAGCCGCUUGAUUAUCACAGUGCAUAGUCAUUGGAGUCACUUGCUCUAUCUCCAAAUGCUUCAAGAUCCCUUUAAUCCAUACCAACUCAUUUGUAAGCUUCAGCAUGGCUCUAUACUCAGCUUCAGCACUUGAACACGAUACCACCUUCUGCUUCUUGCUCUUCCAAGUCACCAAGUUGCCUCCAAUGAAUGUACAAUAGCCGGUGGUUGAUCUUCUGUCUGCUCUAUCUCCAUCUGCUUCUUACUCUUCCAAGUUACUAAGUUCCCUCCAAUGAAUGUGCAGUAGCCGGUUGUGGACCUUCUAUCUGCUCUAUCUCCUGCCCAAUCAGCGUCACAAUAUCCCACCACUUCAGUACUCUUGUUGCAUCCCAUCCAUACUCCAAGGCUUGAUGUCCCGUUCAGAUACAAGAGGAGUCUCUCCACCAUGCGCCAGUGAUGUUCCUUUGGGACUUGCAUAUGC
RNAcentral lists this long non-coding RNA (5651 nucleotides) under Brassica napus (rape). Its description in RNAcentral is "long non-coding RNA (BNAP_LNC013709)". Lineage: Eukaryota; Viridiplantae; Streptophyta; Magnoliopsida; Brassicales; Brassicaceae. The record is from RNAcentral.